This is a long non-coding RNA of Oncorhynchus tshawytscha (Chinook salmon), 1177 nucleotides long. The record is from Ensembl. NCBI's taxonomy places the organism in Eukaryota, Metazoa, Chordata, Actinopteri, Salmoniformes, Salmonidae.
UCUCUCUCUCUCUAGUCUCUCUCUCUCUCUAGUCUCUCUCUCUCUCCAGUCUCUCUCUCUCCAGUCUCUCUCUCUCUCUCCUCUCUAUCUCAGUCUCUCCUCUCUCUCUCCAGUCUCUCUCUCUCAGUCUCUCGCGCUCUCUCUCUCUCUCUCUCUCUCUCUCCAGUCUCUCGCUCUCUCUCUCUCUCUCUCUCUCCAGUCUCUCGCUCUCUCCAGUCUCUCUCUCUCUCUCUCUCAGUCUCGCUCUCGCUCUCUCUCCAGUCUCUCGCUCUCUCUCUCGCUGUCUCUCUCUCUCCAGUCUCUCGCUGUCUCUCUCUCUCUCUCUCCCAGUCUCGCUCUCUCUCUCUCUCCAGUCUCGCUCUCUCUCUCUCUCUCCAGUCUCGCUCUCUCUCUCUCUCUCCAGUCUCGCUCUCUCUCCAGUCUCUCGCGCUCUCUCUCUCUCUCCAGUCGCUCUCUCUCCAGUCUCUCGCGCUCUCUCUCUCUCUCAUCUCUCGCUCUCUCUCUCUCUCUCCAGUCUCUCUCUCUCUCCAGUCUCUCCUCUCUCUCUCUCCAGUCUCUCCUCUCUCUCUCUCCAGUCUCUCUCUCUCUCCAGUCUCUCUCUCUCUCUCUCCAGUCUCUCGCUCUCUCUCUCUCACAGAUAGUCUACGGUGUUUUGAAUGUGGGGAUUUGGGGCACAAGAGUUUUGCGUGCCCACAUAAAGGCCAUAGACAAGGUGAGGGUACAAGCGCAAGUGGGGGAAAUCGAGGUCAAAAUGCAGGGGGUAAGGAGAUGCAGACAGCAGAGGCUGGGCCUAGUCAGGCUAGAGAUGGUAGGGUAGUGGAGGCUGGGUCUAGUCAGGCUAGAGAUGGUGGAGAAGCAGAGGCUGGGUCUAGUCAGGCUAGAGAUGGUAGGGUAGUGGAGGCUGGGUCUAGUCAGGCUAGAGAUGGUGGAGAAGCAGAGGCUGGGUCUAGUAUGCUAGAGAUGGUGGGGUAGCUGAGGCUGGGCCUAGACAUGCUAUGGAGGGUGGUGCAGAUGAUGCUGCGUCUAGUCAGGUUAUUCUAGUGGAUGAGGAGAGUAUAGUGGGGAAGUGUAAGAGAUUAGGGGGGGAGGAGGAGGGUGUCAAGAGGAAAAGGAAAAAGGGUGUGGACAAAGGCACCAUGGAAAUGUUGCCUGUUGCUGUGGGUGAGGCCCUAACCAG